This 460-nucleotide ribosomal RNA is filed under the name uncultured bacterium. RNAcentral describes it as "partial 16S ribosomal RNA". It matches the Rfam family "Bacterial small subunit ribosomal RNA", at positions 338 to 795 of the family's 1533-position model. The record is from RNAcentral.
CCUACGGGCGGCAGCAGUGAGGAAUAUUGGUCAAUGGACGAGAGUCUGAACCAGCCAAGUAGCGUGAAGGAUGACUGCCCUAUGGGUUGUAAACUUCUUUUAUAUGGGAAUAAAAUGUUCCACGUGUGGGAUUUUGUAUGUACCAUAUGAAUAAGGAUCGGCUAACUCCGUGCCAGCAGCCGCGGUAAUACGGAGGAUCCGAGCGUUAUCCGGAUUUAUUGGGUUUAAAGGGAGCGUAGGUGGAUUGUUAAGUCAGUUGUGAAAGUUUGCGGCUCAACCGUAAAAUUGCAGUUGAAACUGGCAGUCUUGAGUACAGUAGAGGUGGGCGGAAGUCGUGGUGUAGCGGUGAAAUGCUUAGAUAUCACGAAGAACUCCGAUUGCGAAGGCAGCUCACUGGACUGCAACUGACACUGAGGCUCGAAAGUGUGGGUAUCGAACAGGAUUAGAUACCCUGGUAGUC